RNAcentral lists this ribosomal RNA (1359 nucleotides) under uncultured bacterium. Its description in RNAcentral is "bacterial SSU rRNA". It matches the Rfam family "Bacterial small subunit ribosomal RNA", at positions 28 to 1381 of the family's 1533-position model. The record is from RNAcentral.
AUUGAACGCUGGCGGCAUGCCUUACACAUGCAAGUCGAACGGCAGCAUGAUCUAGCUUGCUAGAUUGAUGGCGAGUGGCGAACGGGUGAGUAAUACAUCGGAACGUGCCCUGUAGUGGGGGAUAACUAGUCGAAAGAUUAGCUAAUACCGCAUACGACCUGAGGGUGAAAGUGGGGGACCGCAAGGCCUCAUGCUAUAGGAGCGGCCGAUGUCUGAUUAGCUAGUUGGUGAGGUAAAGGCUCACCAAGGCGACGAUCAGUAGCUGGUCUGAGAGGACGAUCAGCCACACUGGGACUGAGACACGGCCCAAACCCCUACGGGAGGCAGCAGUGGGGAAUUUUGGACAGUGGGGGCAACCCUGAUCCAGCAAUGCCGCGUGUGUGAAGAAGGCCUUCGGGUUGUAAAGCACUUUUGUCCGGAAAGAAAUCGCACUUACUAAUAUUAGGUGUGGAUGACGGUACCGGAAGAAUAAGGACCGGCUAACUACGUGCCAGCAGCCGCGGUAAUACGUAGGGUCCAAGCGUUAAUCGGAAUUACUGGGCGUAAAGCGUGCGCAGGCGGUUGUGCAAGACCGAUGUGAAAUCCCCGGGCUUAACCUGGGAAUUGCAUUGGUGACUGCACGGCUAGAGUGUGUCAGAGGGGGGUAGAAUUCCACGUGUAGCAGUGAAAUGCGUAGAGAUGUGGAGGAAUACCGAUGGCGAAGGCAGCCCCCUGGGAUAACACUGACGCUCAUGCACGGAAGCGUGGGGAGCAAACAGGAUUAGAUACCCUGGUAGUCCACGCCCUAAACGAUGUCAACUAGUUGUUGGGGAUUCAUUUCCUUAGUAACGUAGCUAACGCGUGAAGUUGACCGCCUGGGGAGUACGGUCGCAAGAUUAAAACUCAAAGGAAUUGACGGGGACCCGCACAAGCGGUGGAUGAUGUGGAUUAAUUCGAUGCAACGCGAAAAACCUUACCUACCCUUGACAUGCCACUAACGAAGCAGAGAUGCAUUAGGUGCUCGAAAGAGAAAGUGGACACAGGUGCUGCAUGGCUGUCGUCAGCUCGUGUCGUGAGAUGUUGGGUUAAGUCCCGCAACGAGCGCAACCCUUGUCUCUAGUUGCUACGAAAGGGCACUCUAGAGAGACUGCCGGUGACAAACCGGAGGAAGGUGGGGAUGACGUCAAGUCCUCAUGGCCCUUAUGGGUAGGGCUUCACACGUCAUACAAUGGUGCAUACAGAGGGUUGCCAAGCCGCGAGGUGGAGCUAAUCCCAGAAAAUGCAUCGUAGUCCGGAUCGUAGUCUGCAACUCGACUACGUGAAGCUGGAAUCGCUAGUAAUCGCGGAUCAGCAUGCCGCGGUGAAUACGUUCCCGGGUCU